Molecule: ribosomal RNA, 369 nt
Filed under: uncultured bacterium
Lineage: Bacteria
Description: bacterial SSU rRNA
Rfam family: Bacterial small subunit ribosomal RNA
Source: RNAcentral
GACGAACGCUGGCGGUGUGCUUCACACAUGCAAGUCGAACGAGGUAGCAAUACCUAGUGGCGGACGGGUGAGUAACGCGUGGGAAUCUGCCCAAGGGUGGGGAUAACUAGCCGAAAGGUUAGCUAAUACCGCAUAUGCCGUGAGGUAAAAGGAGAAAUCCGCCCCUGGAUGAGCCUGCGUCCGAUUAGCUAGUUGGUAGGGUAAAGGCCUACCAAGGCUACGAUCGGUAGCUGGUCUGAGAGGAUGAUCAGCCACAAUGGGACGUGAGACACGGCCCACUACUCCUACGGGAGGGCAGCAGUGGGGGAAGUGUUACACAAUGGGGGGAAACCCGUAGAUGUAGCGACACCGCGUGAACGAAGAAGACCC